GACGAGUGGCGGACGGGUGAGUAAUGUCUGGGAAACUGCCUGAUGGAGGGGGAUAACUACUGGAAACGGUGGCUAAUACCGCAUAACGUCGCAAGACCAAAGAGGGGGACCUUCGGGCCUCUUGCCAUCAGAUGUGCCCAGAUGGGAUUAGCUAGUUGGUGAGGUAACGGCUCACCAAGGCGACGAUCCCUAGCUGGUCUGAGAGGAUGACCAGCCACACUGGAACUGAGACACGGUCCAGACUCCUACGGGAGGCAGCAGUGGGGAAUAUUGCACAAUGGGCGCAAGCCUGAUGCAGCCAUGCCGCGUGUAUGAAGAAGGCCUUCGGGUUGUAAAGUACUUUCAGCGGGGAGGAAGGUGUUGUGGUUAAUAACCACAGCAAUUGACGUUACCCGCAGAAGAAGCACCGGCUAACUCCGUGCCAGCAGCCGCGGUAAUACGGAGGGUGCAAGCGUUAAUCGGAAUUACUGGGCGUAAAGCGCACGCAGGCGGUCUGUCAAGUCGGAUGUGAAAUCCCCGGGCUCAACCUGGGAACUGCAUUCGAAACUGGCAGGCUUGAGUCUUGUAGAGGGGGG
RNAcentral lists this ribosomal RNA (575 nucleotides) under Salmonella enterica subsp. enterica serovar Newport str. SHSN003. Its description in RNAcentral is "bacterial SSU rRNA". It matches the Rfam family "Bacterial small subunit ribosomal RNA", at positions 90 to 661 of the family's 1533-position model. The record is from RNAcentral. Lineage: Bacteria; Pseudomonadati; Pseudomonadota; Gammaproteobacteria; Enterobacterales; Enterobacteriaceae.